This 254-nucleotide ribosomal RNA is filed under the name uncultured bacterium. Its description in RNAcentral is "partial 16S ribosomal RNA". It matches the Rfam family "Bacterial small subunit ribosomal RNA", at positions 526 to 779 of the family's 1533-position model. The record is from RNAcentral.
CGAAGGGUGCAAGCGUUACUCGGAAUUACUGGGCGUAAAGCGUGCGUAGGUGGUUUGUUAAGUCUGCUGUGAAAGCCCUGGGCUCAACCUGGGAAUUGCAGUGGAUACUGGCUGACUAGAAUGUGGCAGAGGGUAGCGGAAUUCCUGGUGUAGCAGUGAAAUGCGUAGAGAUCAGGAGGAACAUCCGUGGCGAAGGCGGCUACCUGGGCCAACAUUGACACUGAGGCACGAAAGCGUGGGGAGCAAACAGGAUU